ACAACGUUCGGACCAUCGGUUUACCGAGAAAUUUCACCCACCCAGUGGAAGAUCUUCCCUUUGUCGU
RNAcentral lists this microRNA precursor (67 nucleotides) under Bombyx mori (domestic silkworm). RNAcentral describes it as "mir-2774 microRNA precursor family". It matches the Rfam family "mir-2774 microRNA precursor family". The record is from Rfam by way of RNAcentral. Lineage: Eukaryota; Metazoa; Arthropoda; Insecta; Lepidoptera; Bombycidae.